Cucurbita maxima (winter squash) is the source of this 939-nucleotide long non-coding RNA. RefSeq lists it as uncharacterized. The transcript has 2 exons. The record is from RefSeq and is a predicted model, not a curated record. NCBI's taxonomy places the organism in Eukaryota, Viridiplantae, Streptophyta, Magnoliopsida, Cucurbitales, Cucurbitaceae.
UCAUCUCGAAACUGUGCUUUGAUGCUCUCCACCGACGCUCAGCUUCACGCAGCGCACCAUUGUUCGUGUGGGUGUGCGUGGGGUUGGGGAGCCCCUCGAUUCCCCUCAUCCAUUUUUCAACCCCUUUUUCCAUUCCCCACUUCACAGCCCAUCAUUUCUCCUUUGAAUUCAAUCCCCAAUCCUUACUCUGUUGCGCUUUUUUUGCAUUCCAUUUCUUAAUCAUCACUUAUGAGCAAGUGGGUAUUCAUUAAAAUUUCCAAGCAGCCCCUAUUGGUUGCCUCUGCCCUGUGUUGCUUCCUUCAAGAAAUUUGAUGAACUUUUGUAGGUCAAAUCCAAGAAAAAACAAGUUCAAACACUCUUUGAUGUGUUCUGUGAAUUCCAUUUUAUAUUUGCUGUUAUAUAUUUCUGUGGAAAGAACAAGAUAAAUUCAAUUUUUAUCUCUGAUUUGUUCUUUCUUUUUUGAUUUAAGAACAUGAUACAAUGCCACUUUCCCAUUUUACACUAUUUCCUUUCCCUUUCACUCCCAUAAUCCAUCCCACUACUGAUGAACACUGUGUGGGUUGAGCUAUAUGCCCCAGCUUGGACUACACGAUGAUACUGCAUCUGCUACUGUGAGAAAUAUAUGGUCUUGUCCUAUCAAAUCUGCAAACUCUGAUGCGUGAAGCUUGUGGAUCACCACGGGCCCUGGAUUGGCUAGAAUCAGCUGUUUCCAUUGAUGAACAUAACUUCAGGUUAGGAGACACUAAGUUCAUUCAUAUCUUUUUUUACUGUUGUUUGUUAAAAUGAUCUGAAUUGGCUGCAUUUGAGACUAGUUAUGCUGUUUUUACCUGUAUUUCUCGUUUCUUGAGACUCCCAUUUAGUUCUUCCAAAGCAUGUAUGCCACUUGUGUCUAUGUCAGUUACAGCUUCAGCAUGAAACAUAGACAUCAUUGUUAGUUUA